This 253-nucleotide ribosomal RNA is filed under the name uncultured bacterium. Its description in RNAcentral is "partial 16S ribosomal RNA". It matches the Rfam family "Bacterial small subunit ribosomal RNA", at positions 524 to 776 of the family's 1533-position model. The record is from RNAcentral.
UACGUAGGGCGCAAGCGUUGUCCGGAAUUAUUGGGCGUAAAGAGCUCGUAGGCGGCCUGUUGCGUCCGCUGUGAAAACCCGGGGCUUAACCCCGGGCUUGCAGUGGAUACGGGCAGGCUGGAGGCAGGCAGGGGAGAACGGAAUUCCCGGUGUAGCGGUGAAAUGCGCAGAUAUCGGGAGGAACACCGGUGGCGAAGGCGGUUCUCCGGGCCUGUACUGACGCUGAGGAGCGAAAGCGUGGGGAGCGAACAGG